This 91-nucleotide non-coding RNA is filed under the name Macrostomum lignano. Lineage: Eukaryota; Metazoa; Platyhelminthes; Macrostomidae. The record is from Rfam by way of RNAcentral.
ACCAGGUGGUCAUGAAUGUCAAAGUGAAGAAAUUCAAUUAAGCGCGGGUAAACGGUGAGAGUAACUAUAAAUCUCUUAUUGGCCUUCGCAU